Molecule: ribosomal RNA, 254 nt
Filed under: uncultured prokaryote
Description: partial 16S ribosomal RNA
Rfam family: Bacterial small subunit ribosomal RNA
Source: RNAcentral
ACAGAGGGUGCGAGCGUUGUCCGAAGUUACUGGGCGUAAAGCGCGCGUAGGCGGGCCGCUAAGUGGGAGGUGAAAGGCCGGGGCUCAACCCCGCGCAGUGCCUCCCAUACUGGCGGUCUUGAGGGCGGUAGGGAGGGGUGGAAUGGCUGGUGUAGCGGUGAAAUGCGUAGAUAUCAGUCGGAACACCGGUGGCGAAGGCGGCCCCUUGGGCCGUUCCUGACGCUGAGGCGCGAAAGCUGGGGGAGCGAACGGGA